This 21-nucleotide non-coding RNA is filed under the name Caenorhabditis elegans. Lineage: Eukaryota; Metazoa; Nematoda; Chromadorea; Rhabditida; Rhabditidae. The record is from RNAcentral.
UAAUUAUCAGGUGAUCAGUCA